Molecule: long non-coding RNA, 1191 nt
Organism: Bos taurus (domestic cattle)
Lineage: Eukaryota; Metazoa; Chordata; Mammalia; Artiodactyla; Bovidae
Source: Ensembl
GUAAUGGGGGAUGUGUCACAAGGGUGGAAGGAGAAAUUGAACCUCUUGCCUGGGAAGGUGGGGGCCCUUGAAGAAGGGUGUGCUGGUUUCCUGUGGCCUCUGUAACCAAUGACCACAAAGCAAGUGCCUUAAAGCAACAGAACCAUAUCUUUCCCAGACCUGGAGGCCAGAAGUCUGACAGGGCUGAGCUCCUUCCGAAGGCUCUAGGGGAAGAUCCUUCCUGCUUCUGGCGGCUCCAAAGGUUCCUGGCUUGUGGCUGCCUCCCUCCAGUCUCUGCCUUCAUCAUCACCCGGCCUUCUUCCCCGUGUCUCAAAUCUCCCUCUGCCUUUCUCUUGUAAAGACAUGUGACAUUGGAUUUUGAGCCGACGUGAAUUAUCCAGAAUCAUCUCACCUUGAGAUUCUGAACCAGGUCUGCAAAGACCCUUUUUCCAAGCACAGGUGUGCGUGCUUUAUAUGAGCUGCAUCACAUAAUCCUCAUAAAACCUCUGAAAGUCACUUCAGUCGCGUCCGACUCUGUGCGACCCCAUAGACGGCAGCCCACCAGGCUCCCCCGUCCCCGGGAUUCUCCAGGCAAGAACACUGGAGCAGGCUGCCAUUUCCUUCUCCAAUGUCUAUGUCUAUGUGUGCCUAUAUCAGUGCUUCAUUCCUUUUUAUGGCUGAAUAAUAUUCCAUUGUAUGGACGGAACCCAUUCUGUUUAUUCUGUUUGUCCAUCCGUCCACCGCUGAAUGCUUGGGUUAUUUUCACAUUUUGCCUACUUCGGACAGUGCGGCCAUGAACAGUCACAUUUUUGUGUGGCCAUGUUUUUGAUUCUCUGAGGUUUAUACUUCGGAGUAGAAUUGCUGGGUCAUAUGAUCACUCUGUGAAAGUACCAUCUUCCACAGUGGCUGCACCAUUUCACGUUCCCACUGGCAAAGUAGGAGGGUCCAAUUUCGCCACAUCCUCACCAACACUUGUUAUUUUCUGUUAUUUUUUGGUUUUAUUUAAAACCUUUUUUGAUUCUUUAUUGAAUUUGUUAUAAUACUGCUUCUGUUUUAUCUUUGAGUUUUUUGGCCACAGGGCAUGUAGGAGCUUAACUCCCUGACCCAGGAUUGAACCUGCGCCCGUUUCAUUGGUUGUUUAAGUGGUGGUUUAAACGAAGUCUAAACCACUGGGCCACCAGGGAGGUCCUCCUGUGUAUUUCUUUUAAAUUA